RNAcentral lists this ribosomal RNA (254 nucleotides) under uncultured bacterium. RNAcentral's name for it is "partial 16S ribosomal RNA". It matches the Rfam family "Bacterial small subunit ribosomal RNA", at positions 334 to 587 of the family's 1533-position model. The record is from RNAcentral.
ACAACCUACGGGGCGCAGCAGUGGGGAAUAUUGCACAAUGGGGGAAACCCUGAUGCAGCGACGCCGCGUGAGUGAAGAAGUAUUUCGGUAUGUAAAGCUCUAUCAGCAGGGAAGAAAUACUGACCUUACGGUCAGCAGACGGUACCUGACUAAGAAGCCCCGGCUAACUACGUGCCAGCAGCCGCGGUAAUACGUAGGGGGCAAGCGUUAUCCGGAUUUACUGGGGGGAAAGGGAGCGUAGGCUGUUUCGUAAG